GUGAUAACCUGCUGUGAGUAGAUAAAGAAAAAAUAACAAACUAUCUUUCCAGAUAAGGAAGAAAAUAAUAAGUAUAUCUCGCCUAAUAAGUCAAGACUAACUGUCUGAUUCUUUUUUCUUCUCACGACUUUUUACCUCUAUCUAUAAAUAGAAGCUUAUGGAGGACCAUCAAGGUAUGAAACACUUCUCUCCCUAAGUGCUCAUUCUUUUCCAUCUGUUCUAGAGAUCUAACUUGAGAGUCGAAGAGUCUUCGUCGAAGCCAACUCCGGCCGGCGACUUAUCUUGCAGGUCCUGCCACUGUCGUCCUACCAUCGCCAACCAAUGGUCACCAUCCAACUCCAGCCAGUCCGACCCA
Molecule: long non-coding RNA, 355 nt
Filed under: Elaeis guineensis (African oil palm)
Lineage: Eukaryota; Viridiplantae; Streptophyta; Magnoliopsida; Arecales; Arecaceae
Description: long non-coding RNA (EGUI_LNC046893)
Source: RNAcentral